AUACGGAGGAUCCGAGCGUUAUCCGGAUUUAUUGGGUUUAAAGGGUGCGCAGGCGGCCAUUUAAGUCAGCGGUUAAAUCGUGGGGCUCAACCCCAUUCUGCCGUUGAUACUGGGUGGAUUGAUUGCGGUCGAGGUUGGCGGAAUUCGUUGUGUAGCGGUGAAAUGCAUAGAUAUGACGAAGAACACCGAUUGCGUAGGCAGCUGACCAGACCGCAAAUGACGCUCAUGCACGAAAGUGCGGGGAUCGAACAGGAUUAGAUACCCUGGUAGUCCGCACAGUAAACGAUGAAUACUUGUUUUCGGCGAUAUAAUGUCGGAGGCAAAGCGAAAGCGAUAAGUAUUCCACCUGGGGAGUACGCCGGCAACGGUGAAACUCAAAUGAAUGGGCGGGG
This 392-nucleotide ribosomal RNA is filed under the name uncultured bacterium. RNAcentral's name for it is "partial 16S ribosomal RNA". It matches the Rfam family "Bacterial small subunit ribosomal RNA", at positions 523 to 918 of the family's 1533-position model. The record is from RNAcentral.